Equus caballus (horse) is the source of this 9929-nucleotide non-coding RNA. NCBI's taxonomy places the organism in Eukaryota, Metazoa, Chordata, Mammalia, Perissodactyla, Equidae. The record is from RefSeq and is a predicted model, not a curated record.
CAUACAUCCUUGCUGUUAAACCUCGAAAUAGCUCCCUGACAGUGACUUAUUUUUUCCUAAAUGUACAUGACAUCUCCCAAUAUAAAUAUGAAUUUUUGCUUUUCACAGAAGGUGUGUUUCACCAAAAUAUUACAUCUGAUCUUUCAAAUUAAUGAGCUAAAGGUAAUGAAUAAAGGCGGGGGCGGGGGGGGGCUGGGAGAAGUCUGGUAGCAGAUCAGGACGUCUGCUUGCUCCAGAAGACACCAGACGCUGUUACACAGGCUCACUGACAGUUGUAAUCAGUUAGAUUUGCAACGGUUAGUCAUGUCAGAUAGUCAGAACUGCAAACUGUUACAAGACAGGAAAAGGUGGGUGUGAAACAGUGACUCAAUAAAACAUUCAGCAAUCUCAGGCCAGAGCAUUCAUUUAGCCUGCUCCUGUAACAGACCUUUAAAAAGCUCAUUUUGUUUUGCUUUGUUUUUUGGUCAGAGACUGCCUUUCCCUUUACUGAAAGCUGAGGAUAUUAAAUCAAAACACAAAUCUUAAACAAUAUGUAGCGAUGCAAAGUUUAAUGCAAUCUUUUCAAAGCUUAAUAUGGAACAGGUUAUAUACAAGGCUUAAUGUAGAACAGGUCUUUGGCUGUCAAGUCUAGUGAAUGGGUUUUCUUUUCAACUCAGACCAUGUAAGUUCCUAAAAUAUGUUUAAGACACACAUCAUUUGUUACUCAGUAUAUAUAGCUUUAAGUCUCUUUGGCUAUGCUUAUCCAUGGCCAAGAGAAAAAAAAGGACAGUAAAGACAGGAAGGGGAGUGGGGCAGAGAAAGAUGAAUACUGAUUAGAAACCUAUUAAGUGCCAGCCGUUUGUACACAUUAUCUCAUUUAAUCCUACCCAGUUAGGUUUAUCACUCCCAUUUUACAAAUGAGGAAAUUGAAACCCAGAGAGGUUUAGUAACUUAACCACACAACUAAUAAAAGGAAAAAAAUCAGGAUCUGAACUCAGUCAGGUAUUCCAGACCCCAAAAUUAAUGCCCUUCUUUUUAACUUUGUCAGAGAACAUUUAAAAAAAUUAAUAGGUAAUUUAUUUCAACACGUGUCCCAAUCAGCUUUAUAAGACUAAGAAACAGUAAAUAUAAAUCUACUAACAUAGUAUCUGGGCCAGGAUGACAAAAGCAUCUAUUCUUAAAGUGUCAUUGAUAAAUCAUAUCUAAUCCAUUACAUAUUUAAUGUUACAUGGUUUUAAGUAAUUUCAUUGUCUGGUUAGGAAGCAGAGGACUUAUUAGAAACAUUAAGACUAACCAGAAAGAUAAGGCAACCAGGAGUCUAAACUAGUUACAGAAAACUGAAAGUCUAUAGAAAUGGAGACUAGAAAGUUGAAUAGGAAGCCACUGGAUCCAGAUCAGGACCUCAAAACAAUGGAAAGAUCUGAAGGAGUGAACGGGCUGAAUCGCUAGACUGAAAGGUAAUUUACAUUAAACCAUAAAGAGAUGCCAUUCUGGGCUGGAUCAACGGUCCGGGAGCCAGGACUCCAAGGGCAGCGCGUGGACGGCAGCUGUCAUCCAAGGCGCUAAUCAUAAUACACGAAGGAUGGAAAUACCUCAGUGGUCCUUAAUGACCUUAAAUAACCUGGCAGAGAUACUACCCAUGAAUUUAUCUAAACUGCUUCUGAGAAUAUUUCUAUUUUGAGACUUUUACACCUUACUUACGAUAUUAGAAGUCACCAAUGCUUCUCCCCAAUUAAGAGCAGCACCUCGUGUAGGAACGAAAGCCAAAUGUAAAACUUACCUUAUAAGCCUAAAGCAUCUAAAUACUCAAAGUGCAACCAGUUUUCUAUAAAGGCUUCUUUUAAAAAGAGGUGGGUUUUGGGGGGAGGAAGCAAGUAUUUAAGUAUGAGUACAGUCUUCCAAAGUCAAACCCUAAGGAUCAAGAUGUACUUUAACAAUGAAAACAAAAAUCAAGGAGGUUCCUUCCACUUCUUACUGACCCUUCACAAGGAACAGGAAAAUAAUGUUCAAGAAACUUCCAGAAACUACCACCCAACUAGGUAAUUGGUUCUUCAUCUUAUAAAUAAGUAUACAUUUCCUAAGUCAAAUAUUUAUGUGAAUAUUCAUGAUUUCCUUACAUUAAAAAAAAACUUUUCCAAAUCUCCUUGUUUAUCACUUUCCGUAAGUGGUAAAAACGCAAGCUCCUACUUAAAAAUGCAGGGUCUUACUUGGGGAGCAGGCACUCGUUAGACAACUAAGGGUGUCAUCCUUGGCUUCAUCCAGGACCUAGUUCUACAAUCCGUCCUCAAGUCGUAUAUUUUCUGAGAUAAACAUAGGAACUGUCAUUGAAAGACAAUUCCAACUCAGCCUGAGGGAGUGUCAGGAAUAGUCAGGAGGGGUAAGACUGUGAGCGGGGGUUGUAUCCUAAACUGAUAAAGUACCAUGCUCUGUACACUGCAGGUGCUUAAAAACGCUUGUAAAUUCAAAGCAGCAAGCUUGACGUCAAGAAUGAGGAAGCACGGGAAGAAAACCUAAGGACCAAAGUCAUUUUAAAUACUUCUGUUUAAAAUAUAAAGGAGAAAAAGGGAAAAGACAAUUAAAAAACAUAAGCCACUCCUAACUUAAUGCCAGUUUCACUGAUGCCCUACUUUUACUCUAAAGCACUUCCAAAAGUCACAGUUGUCAGAUGACCCAUCAUGCCAAACUCCCCCCACCCCCAAUCUAAGUCUCGAAGACAAGUCUGGACCAAUUUCUCCAUCCCGCCUCUGGCAGCAGACUGUAGCAUUUCAGAUCCUCCACCAAGUCCCGGCUGCUUCAAAGGAAAAAUCCUACUUUCUUCAGUUAAGAUCAUAAGAAAUAUAGGGGGAGGGGGUCAGCUCUGUUUGGACAUAAUUACACUUCAUCAAAAGAAGCUUUCUUCAUCUUCCAUGCGUGAAAAGUCUGCAAGCAGUUGUCCGAGAGAAUUACGCCACAGAAAGAAGGCUGAUGCCCCAUCUGCAGAUUGCAUCGUACGUAUGAAGGCACCGCCUGUCUGCAACCCGGAGUGCCCUGAGGUGUGGUCUCAUCCAGAUCACAGGCUAAAAAAAGAAAGUCUGGUCAGCUCUAUGGGAGAACACGUUUAGGUGAAAAUUUAGAGGUCCUGACUAUAUGGAAGCCUAAAGAUGGUGUGGUAUCCAGAGCUACAUUUCCAUCUCCUUACUUUUGGCUAGACAUUCAGCUUUUAACCACACUGCGAAGAAUUAGUGAAUGCCCACUCUGCAGUGAGACCCGUGGGACAUAGGAAGCCAUCAAGAAGCUCAAACUUCAGGUGCAGAAUAAAGAUAUGUAACAGCCCGACAAACUAUCACUGACAAAUGAGUGGUAGAGACAGAAAAGACACCAAACUCCUAUUCUGUCUUGUCCCGUCUGCCAUUUUGGAAGGACAUGUUUGCCUCCUUAAUCUGCAACACUUAACCUGCGGCAGAUCAACUCAGUCAAGUAAGGAUCCAGAAUAAUCAGUCUUUGAGGCUAAUAAACAUUUUGACUGCUGCAAGGCUAGGGAUCAUACUUUUAACCAGAGUCAGCUAACUUGCAAGCGGGGGCCUCUGAUUAACGUGCAGCCUGGUAAGGGACUGUUGGUGCGGACCCUUCACGGUCAUAUGUAAAACACACCACUGUUAAUCCAUUCCCAAGACACUGCUCCAUGAUAAUAUCCUUUCUCUCAACUCACUUCCAGGAUCCUGUAUUCAGAUGAUUUCCAUCUCUCCCUCCUUCAGCUUCCAGAGAGAUGCCCUUUUGGUGACUAAGCAGUGGCUCCAGCUAGAGCAGCCCACUACUCUCUGGCAAUAGCACCCAUGUGUGCUUGCCUGUCUGGCAAACAUCCCACUGAACCUUCCUCCACUCCUAGUGCUGCUCCCGCCUUUGUCAAGAUUGCCCCAUAAGGCAAACCCAAGCAUUUGGUUCUAUGCUCCCAGUACAAUUUGCACAUACUCUCAUAAAAGCAGAUUUCUUUUAGGGUGAUAAAACAUACACUAGACCUACACUUUAGGGCUGAAUUUUCCCACCCAUGAACCCUAGCCCAACGUUCCUCCACUAUACUCUCUGUUCCAGCCAGGAAAACAACCAACCCAACAAAAAACUUGCCAGUAUUUUUUUCAUCCUUACUUUUCUCUUAGGCUGUUUCUCAAUUCCAUUCCUUCUUUAGCACUUUGUAUUCAGUCUAAAAUCCUAAAGAUUUCCUUAAAUUAUAGAAGCCACUUCCACAGCAUCCCACAGUACUCAAAUGAUCCUCCUUUCAAUGUACAUGUAUUUAUGAUCUAUCUACUGUUUUUGACACACUAGCCCAAAGCUACGAGACUCACUCCUUGGAGUCCAGAUUAUAUUAGACUGGAAACGACAUGAGGCAAGGGCCUCACCUGUCUUGUUCACUACCAUAUGCUCAGCUCCCAAAAGAGUGUCUGGCACACGCUAAGUGUUUGAUAAAUAUUUUUGAAAUAGGUAAAUGAAGGAGCUCCGUAAAGAGCACCACUUCCCACAGCCAAUGGUCUGUGAGGCUACCAGCUAAAACCCUAACAGAGAGAACCAGUUAAAGGUUAAGUCAGCAUCCCGCGAUAGCAGCCAGGAGCCUCUGUUCCAAAACUAGUUUUCUGACAGCUUUUUCUAUCCCGGAGGAGAGGCAAUCAGGCCGAAUAUCCUUUACCAGGGGCAUAUGGCUACUCUCCUCAAUCUGAGAAGUCUCCCAGGUCACGGGUAAUUUCCUUGAGAACAUGACUUCCUCCCUGCAUACUGAAUCUAGUACCUCGAGUGGCUACAAAAUAUAGGCAAUGCUGUCCUCUGGAUGGAGGCAACGUGCUUUUCAAUUUUUCGAAUUCACACUGCCAAAAAUGUGAACGUUUGAAAAUACUGAAAUAAUUGACUAUGUUUGCCAGUAUUCAUCCGAAUGUUUGACAUUUUUUACACUUAGCAUAUUGCGUUUUAACACCUGCUGUGUGGCUUUCUAUGUCAAGGUAAAUAUGGAACCAGUAAGCGUGUUAAUGAAGGCAGAAAAGUUGUAGUGUUUAGAAGAGAAUGAAUGCACCAAAAAUCAAGAGCCCCCCGGCCCUUUUGCCCACCUCUGUUACAUAUCUGCUAAGCUCUCCCACAAGUAACUUCAUCUCCAGGAACCACAGUUUUCCAACAGAAAUUGGAAAUAAUUUUUUGAAAGUCUGUAAAAUGUAGAAGAUACUAUCUAAGUAUAGAGCGUAAUUAUAAUGAUGUACUUUUUGUAAGACGAGGAGGCUAACUUCUGUUCCAAAUCCGCUGUGUGCUAAACAUAGGCUUUUACUUAGAAGCAUCCUUAAAGGGUUCAACUGAAUAUGCAAUUCUUCACUUCAUGUCCUGAGAUGUUUUUUGGUGUUGUUGAGAGAGAAAGGAUGACUGCUGAUGGGUUUCACUCCAGCCUGGCUAAAUUUCAGAAAAAAGUAAAGAAAUCUGCCCCAAUAUAAAGAUUUUCAAGAGCUCUGGGACAUUAUUAUUUUACUGCAUAUUUUUAAUAUAAUGGAUUUUUUUUUUUUUUAGUUAGAAGAAAAGGAAAAUUGAUUCAAUAUGGGAAAAUACGAAAGCAAAGAUCCCUAAGAGUGAAAUACAUAAAUCUAUUUUUCUUUGCUUAAGCAGCAUAAUAAUGGCCAUAUUAAAUACUGGUAUGUUUUACGGAUUAUAUUUAAUAACAAAACAAAUAGGUAAUCACAAAUUGUGUGAGUCUUCUGUGAGGUUCUGAGCUGGGCCUGAAAAAAUCAUGCUAACUAACACGAUGUAGUGACAACUUUUCCUGUUAUGGCUGAACUCUAUUUUAAUCGCUAAAUACAUUGGUUUUUUUCUGCUACCAAAUCAGAUUCCUAAUGUUUUACUGAGGAACAAAAGAGGGGAGGGAGUACCGUAUUUGACUUUAUAUCAAUCAGAAGUGUAAUUAUAUGUUUGAGGGUUUUUUUUUAAAAAAAAGCAGAUCUCUGAAGCUAAAGUUUCCCUUGGAGAUUCUCAACUGUGUUUAUCUAAAAGAAAACCAAAAGAAUCAAGAAAUUUUUACACAUUUCAUCUGUACCAAACCCAAGCAAUGGAAAACAUUUCAAGGGGUAGAGAGCAGUGAAAACUCGCUCUUUAACCAUUUAGGACUAAGCACGCAGGAAAACUUGUUUCCAUACUACCCGAUAUAAAAGUUCCAUUCUCCAAAGAACAAUUUGUGAUGAAACCUUAACAAUGACGUUUCUAGGUGUAUGUAAAAUAGAAAAUUUGCAAACUCAAGAAACUUCAUGAGAAAGAGGGAAGUCAUUUUGCAUCUUGAUAUUUCAGAACAGAGAAAGAAGUUCCUUUAUUUAGUGCACCUCACGAUAACUAGUAUGUAAAUCACAUGAUACGUAGCUUUUUCAAAAUGAAGUAAAAGGAUAUUUAACUCUAGAAACACUAUUGAAAUUUUGUAUGAGACUCCGUAGGAUUAAAUCUGUGAAUUACUCUGAAAGAGGGGAAUGGAGAAUUAACUCAGACCCUUAAAAUGGUUUCUGUGGUCUUAUUAUACGGAAAUUAAAAUUGCCUAUGACAUUUCCAUGGACAGAAGUCUAGUCUUAACUAAUCAAUUACUCUCACAGACCAAUAUCAUUUGGCACAUUGGGCUUGCUGCAAAAUUGAUAUAUAAUUAUUUUUCAAGAUAGAAUCUGACCAAAUCUUCCUUUGGAAUAGAAAGAGAGGUAAGGAAGUAAUUGCAAAAAGGAAAAGUUUUAUGCCUAUGGUAAUUAUUUAAAGAUAACUUUAAAUAAACUAUCAAAAAUUCCACAAAUAUUACAGCUAAUUUUUAGAAUUUAACCUAGAAUUUAGGAAAACCCAAUUGAAUUGUAGAGAAAAAAAGUAAAUACAAUAUAAAAUAUCACUUUAUAAUUUUUAAAAUAUAUGUCAAAGAGAAAUUUGAUGGGAAUUAUUUUAAGCCAGGAAUUUAGGUGCCAUGCAUCAAGCUGGGUUAGAUCAUCUAACAGUGGAUAUUUGGGAAUUUUGAAAGAAAACAAAUAGCAAUGCCAAAGGGGAGAAAAUAAUAAAAGACAUCUUACCAUGCCUGUUUUCAAAUAGAAGUUUUUAAAAAUUUUUUUAAAUAUUUAUUUUCCAUCUAAAAUUGUCUAGGUUACCUUACUAACAAAUCUUAUAUAUUCAAUCCUAAAAUUUUUAACUUUAAAUAAUUUUUACUGCAUUUAAAGACAUAACAUAAAAAUGUGUCUGCAUUCACACAACCUGAAAUCUAUUACGAUCUACGUAAUUUGCAUAACAAUUCAUAGUGGCCUAAAUAACAUUUUAACAAGUUUAAUAAUCUGUUUUCCUUUGUGUAGGUAUAACUACACUCAAAAAGACACAGAGAAAAUCCGACCCUUAAAUAUGUAAGGAAACUACAACCCACUAGUGUCAAGUAUUUAUUAGUUGCAUACUUGUUUUUGAAGAGAAAAAUGUCCAAUGAUGUUGAAAAAAUUAUUUUCAAAAAGGAAUUGCUCCAUCAUUUUGAAACCCUACUUAUGACAAAUACUGAAAGGUAUCAUUAAACAUACAGAAUUAACUAUGAGAAAUAGAUUAUAUAUCUAAAAAUGUGUUUUCUUUCUUUAACAUUGCCAGAAAAACAUAUGAUACUGGUAAAUAUGUAGUCCAGUGUUCUCUAACUUGAACCAGCACAACAGCCUUGCACUACUUUUAGUUUUAAAAUAUACAUCUGGACUUAAAAUUUCUGCAUAGUGUUUCAGCAUGGAGCUAUUUAAAGCAACUGAGUUAUGACCCCUGAACACAAGGCUUCGUGGUGGAAAGGCUGACAGACCCCUAACUGUAAGGGUGCUACUGGAUGCACGGUUGACAUGCUCCUCCACUAUUUCUACCUGACCAUUAACUAUGGAGCUUAAUUUGCAAACUGCUUUUUUGUCACUAGAAUUAUCUAGGACAGAAAAGGCCUAGGAUCCUCGAAUAGUAUCCUUUAACUAUUUUAAGCUUUCAGUGAGAUACACCUGAAAGAAAUGUUAAAAAUAUUUAUUUCCAUUUCCUUGACACCUGGGAGGACUGAACAUUUCAAAACUGCAGAACUUUGUUAAAAAUAUAAUGCUAAUAAACAACUUUAUCUAUUUUAAAGUGCACUUGUUUUUACAUUUUUAUAUGGUGAGUAUAAACGAGUUAAGUACUCGUAUAACCUCAAAACAAGAUCAGAUCUUUACUAAUACAUUACUUACAUCUUAAUACGACAGGGUGUCAACAAAAUUUUGAAGCACUAUUUUAAAUUAACAUAUCAAAACACAAUCUAUUGAAUUCAUUUCUGAUUCUCCACAGUGCCGAGCUCAGUGUCAUAGACGUAAAAUAUGGGCUCAAUAAAUAUUGUAUUGAAUACCAGACUAUCCAAGAAUUGAGUUCUCUGAGUGUGUUUUUCAAUAUAUUUACCUAUCUGCUAUUUUCCAACAAUACUAUAAUUUACAUUGCACAUAGCUCUAACUAUGACAGCCAAAUUGCUGUCAUCACUUUUAAAACUGAGACCUCUUCAUAUUUUUUCUUCAUGGCAGAUGUAUUUGAUUAUGUUGCAAAAGUGAAGAAAGUCUACUGCUCUCAGGCUUUUAUCUUGAAAGUAAGGUAAAGAGGGGCUGAUUUUACUAACGUUCAGAUGAAAAUAAAAACUGUUGUCAAAAUCCGUAUCUUCAAAAUAUCUACACCUCUUUCUCAGGAGAGACAAAGCUUCUAUACUGAGUGGCUCUCAGCUAUCAUCGGCUAUUUGAAUUUUGUUAAACACAAGCAUGCAGGGGCGAAAACACUGAGGCUCAAGUUUUAAGUUAACUCAAUUUAUUUUUCAAUUAAAAUAUACAAUUUUAUAUGUCCAUGUGUUAUCUAUGGUUUUGUUUACUGUUUCAAAGUCAAAUUACUCUGUAAUUAACAAGUGUGACCAACAGCAAAGAAAGCAAUUUGUUUUCAAAAUCAUUUUUAAAAGGUGGUAGUGAGAAAACCUAAAGACAACCAAAACAUCUGAGAAACGCUCAAACUAAAUUGCAUUCUAUCAUUAUGCCAAAAACAUCCUUUCCAUCCAAAAUACUAAUGCUCAACACCAGUUCAGCGGCAUAAACCUAAGAGUUAUACCUAAAAUAUGUUUACCAGAACACACGGAAUGUAACCUAUCAAACAUCUAAACGGUAUCUUUAAAAAUGUAGGCACCUAGCCUUUUAUUUUCACAUAUCCUGACCUGUGGCACUGCACAGACAAAACAUCUACUUAUUUGUAUUAUUUGCUGUUCUCAUUCAGGUUUUUUGUUUGUGUUUUGAGGGGGCUUUUUGCGGGGGCGGGUUGGCGGAAACAAAUUUCUGACAUAUGGCUAAUUAGAAACUUCUAGGCCCAUGGACGAUGCACACUGUAAAAGUCAUCUCUUGUAUGGAAAUUCAAAUUUCUACAACGCACAUACAUUUUGAGUUUUUCCUAUUUCAAGGAAGAAAACAUAACCUACAAAACGGGUGGCUCACAAAAAGAGAAAUGGGACGGUUAAACACACACACACAUUUCUUAAGCCAACUGCAAAAUGAAACUUGCCCCAGAAGGCAACAUCCCCUUUCCAUAACAAUUCAUCCUGAUUUCUCCUCUGAUAUAAGACCUAGCGAGAUAACCAGCUCUAAUUGACUUGGACUCCUCUUUCCACCCCACCCACACACGGAAUCUGAAUCGGUGCGUGGGGGCCAGGGGGCCGAUCAACAACUGGGAACUGCCAGUGGCCCGUGGGAGUUUGGCCCCAGGGUCCAGAAGGCAGGAACUGGCACAAUUCCUCCCUCAUUUUCCCCCUCCCCCAAGGCCUUGCUUACCCUGCUCUCCAUAGACCCCAGAACCCCGGGGACCCAGGCCCACCUUCCCGAGUUCCGAGGCCAGACAGGGCCGGAAGCGCCUUUCGGAGCGCGCUCUGCUCCCUGUCUGGCUCACCGCCCCCUCCAUCCCCGGCGUCCAGGCCAGCGAGGGAGGACAGCCCCGGAACCCGUUUC